AUUGAACGCUGGCGGCAUGCCUUACACAUGCAAGUCGAACGGCAGCACGGGGGCAACCCUGGUGGCGAGUGGCGAACGGGUGAGUAAUGCAUCGGAACGUGCCCCGUAGCGGGGGAUAACCAGUCGAAAGACUGGCUAAUACCGCAUACGCUCCACGGAGAAAGCAGGGGAUCGCAAGACCUUGCACUAUGGGAGCGGCCGAUGCCCGAUUAGCUAGUUGGUGAGGUAAGGGCUCACCAAGGCGACGAUCGGUAGCUGGUUUGAGAGAACGACCAGCCACACUGGGACUGAGACACGGCCCAGACUCCUACGGGAGGCAGCAGUGGGGAAUUUUGGACAAUGGGCGCAAGCCUGAUCCAGCCAUGCCGCGU
Molecule: ribosomal RNA, 371 nt
Filed under: uncultured bacterium
Lineage: Bacteria
Description: bacterial SSU rRNA
Rfam family: Bacterial small subunit ribosomal RNA
Source: RNAcentral